GGGAGGUAGGCUGAGAUCUCACUCCACCCGCACCAGCCUUGAGCAUCAUUCAUUUCAAUCAUGCUGAUUUAUGUGUGUCCACUGCAAAUUUUUUUAUUAUUAUUUAUUUAUUUGUUUAUUUUUAGAUGGAGUCUCGCUCUGUCGCCCAGGCUGGAGUGCAGUGGCGAGAUAUGGGCUCACUGCAACCUCCACCUCCCGGGUUCAAGUGAUACUCCUGCCUCAGCUUCCCGAGGAGCUAGGAUUACAGCUUAACUGCAUGAAAUUUAUCUCCUGGGAAGUGUAAAAACAUGAACCCAGUGAACGUGGUCGAGAACCCUAUUCAACAAAGCUGAAGACAGCCACCCUUUAGGGGAUGCAGACUAACAAGAGAGAGGAAACCUGUGUGCCUAGUACCAUGGAGCCCCAGAGCAGCUGUGGACUGUGUAUAAUCAGACUGUUGUGGAGGGAGAAAUAAACUUCAUCUUGUUUAAACUGUG
RNAcentral lists this long non-coding RNA (476 nucleotides) under Homo sapiens (human). Its description in RNAcentral is "HSALNT0390695". The record is from RNAcentral. Lineage: Eukaryota; Metazoa; Chordata; Mammalia; Primates; Hominidae.